This 826-nucleotide ribosomal RNA is filed under the name uncultured bacterium. RNAcentral's name for it is "bacterial SSU rRNA". It matches the Rfam family "Bacterial small subunit ribosomal RNA", at positions 60 to 877 of the family's 1533-position model. The record is from RNAcentral.
AGUCGAGGGGCAGCAUUUUAGUUUGCUUGCAAACUGAAGAUGGCGACCGGCGCACGGGUGAGUAACACGUAUCCAACCUGCCGAUAACUCUGGAAUAGCCUUUCGAAAGAAAGAUUAAUACCGGAUGGCAUACGAAUAUCGCAUGAUAUUUUUAUUAAAGAAUUUCGGUUAUCGAUGGGGAUGCGUUCCAUUAGUUUGUUGGCGGGGUAACGGCCCACCAAGACAACGAUGGAUAGGGGUUCUGAGAGGAAGGUCCCCCACAUUGGAACUGAGACACGGUCCAAACUCCUACGGGAGGCAGCAGCGAGGAAUAUUGGUCAAUGGGCGAGAGCCUGAACCAGCCAAGUAGCGUGAAGGAUGAAGGCUCUAUGGGUCGUAAACUUCUUUUAUAUGGGAAUAAAGUUUUCCACGUGUGGAAUUUUGUAUGUACCAUAUGAAUAAGGAUCGGCUAACUCCGUGCCAGCAGCCGCGGUAAUACGGAGGAUCCGAGCGUUAUCCGGAUUUAUUGGGUUUAAAGGGAGCGUAGGUGGAUUGUUAAGUCAGUUGUGAAAGUUUGCGGCUCAACCGUAAAAUUGCAGUUGAAACUGGCAGUCUUGAGUACAGUAGAGGUGGGCGGAAUUCGUGGUGUAGCGGUGAAAUGCUUAGAUAUCACGAAGAACUCCGAUUGCGAAGGCAGCUCACUAGACUGUUACUGACACUGAUGCUCGAAAGUGUGGGUAUCAAACAGGAUUAGAUACCCUGGUAGUCCACACAGUAAACGAUGAAUACUCGCUGUUUGCGAUAUACAGUAAGCGGCCAAGCGAAAGCAUUAAGUAUUCCACCUGGG